GGUGUGUGCAGUGGUACACUUCAUGUGUUGACCCGCUGUUGCCCCCCCUUCCCCUUCCUCGCUGUCAUAACAGUGUCAUGCUCAACUGGUCCCCCCAUUAAUACUGGCAUGAAUGUUGUCACUUGUUUGCCGUCCCAAUGCGUUGGUGUUCUUGCUCUAACAGUGCUUCGCUCAGUUCCACUUGCCCUUGCAGAAAAUCAAUUUUACCCAGAGAAACGGCAUUGUUUCAGCUUACCUUUUCCAAGGAACGUCAAAUCUCUCAAAGUUGAAACUCUUGCCCACUCUUGUCUUCUGCCAUCGUUGUCUGCUCGCGGAGACGCCGGCGACUUUCACUUCCAGCUGAACACCAAAGAAGCACAUGCAUUCCUCCUGACUGGAGCGGAGCGCCAUGCACAUAUGAAGCUGAAGGCUAUCCCUUUCUGGUCUGCACAUCAGCUAGCUAGAGACCGAGGUCUGCACCUGAGACCCGAGCUUGGACAGGAUCAUUGUGUUAUUUUAUGACAUUUAAUUAGAGCAAUUGGCAACGGAACAGACAUUUUCUGCUCAUUCUAAUUUCGAAGCAGACUGCUCCGUUUGUAUCCAAGUGUUAUUCAUUCACCGGGAAUGGAUGAUGUAUUACGUAGCUACAGUAGGAGCUGCAGGUCUACCAAUUGUGCUCACUUGAACAUUUUGACCACACUGAAUUUAAGCUGCCAGUAGACCAGCCACCGCCACUUGACCAUGAGUGCAAACUGGAGGCCCGUCGUUCUUUUGUGUGGUAAAGAAGUGCUGGGGCGCAAAAGGGAGAAGAAUAGAACAGAAUGUGUGCGCUUUGUCAAGGGCACCAACCACCGUGCGAGUUUUCAAUUCUUGGUCUCGAUAAUGUCAGGGGGGGGCCCGGCCCUCUGUUGCUGUAAGAGGAUUUGUCUCGCUUAGUUCACUCUAGCCGUCUUUGGAAAGAUACAAUCGCCAGCUGUGACAUUCGCUACACCUGUAUACUGGAAAUGAUAUCUUGUUAUUAACAAAUAUCUUCUUCAAACCUGCCAUCAUUUUUCUAAGUAACGCCAGGUCAAGUGUCAAGCAAAAGGCCAUUGAUCGUAGCCAGCUGUGACUGAGCCCUCGGGGACUUCAGACAUAUGGCCGGGUCAACAACGUCUGUGUCAGAUGUGGCCCCAUUUAACAUGCACGACUUCAACAGCUCCUCAGUGCUCUUACUGCCAAGCACUUCAGCCACGUUUCAAUGCGUCCCCCUUCAAUCAUCCAAAUUGUAACAGUGAGCCCUGAUCUUUAUAUAUUUUUUUCAACCUCUCAACAAUGGAGAUAUCCUCUUUCAUGAACGUGGAUUAAAAGCUAAACCCUCGAUUCGUUUUUUUCAUUAGAAUCUCAUUGGGCGCUUCGUUCAGUUUGCAUAAGGAGAGAGGGCUUAACAUUCCCAUUCAUGUGCGACAGUGGCACUUGUGUCGGACACUGAUGGUGGUGUGGAUACAAAUUUAUUCGAAUCAAGUGGCAAAGCAGACACACGCAUUCUAUCUACUCUAUGCCUGACGUGCUGUGUGUCACUGUCCCCGGGCAAACGUUUUCUCGUCCCACUCUUGUUUUUUUUCCUCUUCCUUCCUUGUGCACUCAAUCUCCCAUGGCGAUUAAAGAAAGGGUGCCCACCCGCUGUGGAAGAGAGAAAACGGUCAAAAGAGAGGCCAAUCAUCACGUAGGAAGAUAAGUGGACUGAUUAGAGGGAAGGGGAAUAGCGAGGGCAAAAAGGGGCUAGCUUGGAAAAACAACUCAUGGUCAAACAGAAUGAUCAUGCAACGUAUUAAGUAUAGUUUUAUCGUUCCUGCAAGUU
Molecule: long non-coding RNA, 1819 nt
Organism: Syngnathus acus (greater pipefish)
Lineage: Eukaryota; Metazoa; Chordata; Actinopteri; Syngnathiformes; Syngnathidae
Exons: 2
Source: RefSeq, a predicted model, not a curated record